This 295-nucleotide ribosomal RNA is filed under the name uncultured Synechococcus sp. RNAcentral describes it as "partial 16S ribosomal RNA". It matches the Rfam family "Bacterial small subunit ribosomal RNA", at positions 1239 to 1533 of the family's 1533-position model. Lineage: Bacteria; Bacillati; Cyanobacteriota; Cyanophyceae; Synechococcales; Synechococcaceae. The record is from RNAcentral.
ACAAAGAGCAGCAAGUUCGCGAGGACAAGCAAAUCUCAUAAACCGUGGCUCAGUUCAGAUCGUAGCUGCAACUCGCCUACGUGAAGGAGGAAUCGCUAGUAAUCGCAGGUCAGCAUACUGCGGUGAAUACGUUCCCGGGCCUUGUACACACCGCCCGUCACACCAUGGAAGUUGGCCACGCCCGAAGCCGUUACUCCAACCCUUGUGGAGGAGGACGUCGAAGGUGGGGCUGAUGACUGGGGUGAAGUCGUAACAAGGUAGCCGUACCGGAAGGUGCGGCUGGAUCACCUCCUAA